CCUACGGGUAGCAGCAGUGAGGAAUAUUGGUCAAUGGACGAGAGUCUGAACCAGCCAAGUAGCGUGAAGGAUGACUGCCCUAUGGGUUGUAAACUUCUUUUAUAGGGGAAUAAAAUGUUCCAGGUGUGGGAUUUUGUAUGUACCAUAGGAAAAAGGAUCGGCUAACUCCGUGCCAGCAGCAGCGGUAAUACGGAGGAUCCGAGCGUUAUCCGGAUUGAUUGGGUUAAAAGGGAGCGUAGGUGGCUUGUUAAGUCAGUUGUGAAAGUUUGCGGCUCAACCGGACAAUUGCAGGUGAAACGGGCAGUGUUGAGUACAGUAGCGGUGGGCGGAAUUCGUGGUGUAGCGGUUAAAUGCUUAGCUAUCCC
Molecule: ribosomal RNA, 365 nt
Filed under: uncultured bacterium
Lineage: Bacteria
Description: partial 16S ribosomal RNA
Rfam family: Bacterial small subunit ribosomal RNA
Source: RNAcentral